RNAcentral lists this transfer RNA (70 nucleotides) under Camelus ferus (Wild Bactrian camel). It matches the Rfam family "tRNA". From Rfam's summary of the family: Transfer RNA (tRNA) molecules are approximately 80 nucleotides in length. Their secondary structure includes four short double-helical elements and three loops (D, anti-codon, and T loops). Lineage: Eukaryota; Metazoa; Chordata; Mammalia; Artiodactyla; Camelidae. The record is from Rfam by way of RNAcentral.
GGGUAUGGCUCAGUGGUAGAGCGUGUGCUUAGUAUGCACGAGGUCCUGGGUUCGAUCUCCCGUACUUCCA